Long non-coding RNA from Chlorocebus sabaeus (green monkey), 882 nucleotides. RefSeq lists it as uncharacterized. NCBI's taxonomy places the organism in Eukaryota, Metazoa, Chordata, Mammalia, Primates, Cercopithecidae. The record is from RefSeq and is a predicted model, not a curated record.
AGAUUGCUGCCUGGUCCUUCUUCUGGAAGCUUCAUCCCAGAGGGGCACCUGGAGAGUAUGAGAGAUGUCCUACCCAGAGAAGAGAAAUCUGGCAGUCUGGCCACAGCACCUUUGCUGAGCUACAGUGGGCCCCACCCAGUUUGAACUUCCCAGAGGCCUUGUUUACAAUAGUUUUACUCUUUUGGUCAACAAUCAUUUGGCACCCAAACACAUGGGGACUGAGAGAAGGCUUGGGACCCUGAAGGAGUUACCCAAAGUCGGAGCUAAGUUACCAGCAGAGGCCCAUUGGAAGCCUCCCCGACUUUGAGCUUCUCAUCCAGUGGAACUGGAAGUUGUUGUUUAAGGAUCCUACUUUUAGUUCAGAGGUGUAUUCUAAAGGAUCUUCUCCAUUGCUUUUUCUCCAAAAUUAAUCUCUACUUGGCUUGUCUGUGUGCAUUUGCAUGAGGAACUGAACCAUUGUUUUCAUAGAUAAAUGAGAGACUGAGUUUUCUCAGCUCCAAAGAGAAAGGCCAUUUUGCUCCUUCCAGCUGAAAGGUGACUCUCGGUGACCAAAAGUCUCGUGGGAUUGUCUGUGGGGUUGACCCCUGUGAGGUGCAGCGGCCCUACAGAGAAUCGUCAACAAAAUUAGUUUAAAAAAGUCUCAUCUGGGAAGCACAUAUGGGAACUGGUCACUUCCCGCUUUGGGUUCUCCUGGAGCUGCUAGACCCCUGGAAAGAGAAACUGAGACAUGCAAGAAGACAGCAAUGACUCACUGGUGAUGCUGUGAAGUCCCAUCUGUAAUGAGCACACACUUCGACCCAUUCCACCAAAACCCUAAGCCAUAGCUCAGUUCCUCCUUUUAAGAAGAAUAACAAAAAAACAAACAAACAAACAAAAAAAAAA